AGGGCGUCUAGGCGGUCGGUCAAGUCAGUCGUGAAAGUCCUUGGCUAAACUGAGGAAAGUCGACCGAUACUGAUCGACUAGAGGGACGUAGAGGUAAGCGGAACUCUCGGAGUAGCGGUGAAAUGCGUAGAGACCGAGAGGUACCCCGAUGGUGAAGACAGCUUACUGGGCGUCUCCUGACGCUGAAGCGCUAAGGCCAGGGGAGCGAAGGGGAUUAGAUACCCCCGUAGUCCUGGCUUCAAACUAUGUGGGCUUGGUGUCGGCUCCCGAUAGAGAGUCGUUGCCGGAGCUAACGUGUUAAGCCCACCGCCUGGGGAUUACGUCCGCAAGGAUGAAACUCAAGGGAAUUGACGGGGGCCCACACAACCGGUGGAGCACGUGGUUUAAUUCGAUGAUAAGCGAAGAACCUUACCAGGGCUUGACCUAGCGGUGGUAGGAUCCUGAAAAGGAAACGACCUCAAGCUUUGCUUGAGGAGCCGUGGCAGGUAUUGCAUGGCUGUCGUCAGCUCGUGUCGUGGGACGUUGGGUUAAGUCCCGUAACGAGCGAAACCCCUGCCCUUAAUUGCCAGCGGGUAAUGCCGGGGACUAUAAGGGGACUGCCGGAGAAUAUCCGGAGGAAGGAGGGGAUGACGUCAAGUCAUUAUGAUCCUUAUGCUCUGGGCGACACACGUGCUACAAUGGGUACUACAGUGAGGAGCAAGUCUGCAAGGACCAGCAAAUCUCAAAAAGGUGCCCUCAGUGCGGAUUGGGGUCUGCAACUCGACCCCAUGAAGAUGGAAUCGGUAGUAAUCGCGGGUCAGCCACACCGCGGUGAAUACGUACUUGGGCCUUGUACACACCGCCCGUCACACCA
RNAcentral lists this ribosomal RNA (853 nucleotides) under uncultured KB1 group bacterium. RNAcentral's name for it is "bacterial SSU rRNA". It matches the Rfam family "Bacterial small subunit ribosomal RNA", at positions 564 to 1404 of the family's 1533-position model. Lineage: Bacteria; Candidatus Calescibacteriota. The record is from RNAcentral.